AAUUCAACAGAACUACUCAUGCAACUGCAAACAGAACUACUCGUGCAGAUAACUACUGGUGAUGAUUUGGGUGGGACUCUAUGGUCCAUAAUGUAUUAUCCCCAGAGGUUCAGCUCAGUGCUUACAUCCUCUUGUUCUAUAAUCUAAAGGUUCGGCUGGUGUACAUCCUCAUAGCGAGGUUCCACGCCUACAUCCUUUCUGAAUGCGAAUCUGAUCGUUGGAUCUCCGACUGCUCGAAUGGCUCUUACUGGCUUUGCAGCACUUACUGGCUCUUGGAUGAUCAUCUGGCGCAGUGGCUCUAAUCACAUCUUCUUGUUGCUCUUAUUGGCUCUGGCUCGAUGGCUCUGGCUCUCAUUCGCAAGAAACACUUAGCUCUUAUUGGCUCAUUGGCACUCACUGGCUUAUCGUCAUGGCUCUGGCUCUUACUGAUUGGCUCUGGCCCAUGCUAUCAAGGUGCUGGCAUUCUGCUCUCACAGUUCACAGUUCCACCUUCGCGCUGUCGUCAUCGUUUCACAGUGUCACUCUUGUGCUGGCAUAACUUAACGUGUCUCAGUCGCUACAACGUCUCCUGCUCUGGUGGCUGGUGGAAUUUCACCAUCGUGCAGCUCCAGGCGGCUUUUCAGCGUUGUCUUAGUGUUCUGUUGUCNGU
RNAcentral lists this unclassified non-coding RNA (649 nucleotides) under Yarrowia lipolytica. The record is from RNAcentral. Lineage: Eukaryota; Fungi; Ascomycota; Dipodascomycetes; Dipodascales.